UACGUAGGGGGCAAGCGUUAUCCGGAUUUACUGGGUGUAAAGGGAGCGUAGGCGGCGAUGCAAGUCAGAAGUGAAAGCCCGGGGCUCAACUCCGGGACUGCUUUUGAAACUGUGUUGCUAGAUUGCAGGAGAGGUAAGUGGGAUUCCUAGUGUAGCGGUGAAAUGCGUAGAUAUUAGGAGGAACACCAGUGGCGAAGGCGGCUUACUGGACUGUAAAUGACGCUGAGGCUCGAAAGCGUGGGGAGCAAACAGG
This 253-nucleotide ribosomal RNA is filed under the name uncultured bacterium. RNAcentral describes it as "partial 16S ribosomal RNA". It matches the Rfam family "Bacterial small subunit ribosomal RNA", at positions 524 to 776 of the family's 1533-position model. The record is from RNAcentral.